RNAcentral lists this ribosomal RNA (406 nucleotides) under uncultured bacterium. Its description in RNAcentral is "partial 16S ribosomal RNA". It matches the Rfam family "Bacterial small subunit ribosomal RNA", at positions 29 to 526 of the family's 1533-position model. The record is from RNAcentral.
AUUGAACGCUGGCGGCAGGCCUAACACAUGCAAGUCGAGCGAGCGGCGGACGGGUGAGUAAUGUCUGGGAAACUGCCUGAUGGAGGGGGAUAACUACUGGACACGGUCGCUAAUCCCGCAUACCAUCAGAUGUGCCCCGAUGGGAUUAGCUGGUAGGUGGGGUAACGGCUCACCUAGGCGACGAUCCCUAGCGGGUCUGAGAGGAUGACCAGCCACACUGGAACUGAGACACGGGCCAGACUCCUACGGGAGGCAGCAGUGGGGAAUAUUGCACAAUGGGCGAAAGCCUGAUGCAGCCAGGCCGCGUGUGUGAAGAAGGCCUUCGGGUUGUAAAGCACUGUCAGCGGGGAGGCGUUACCCGCAGAAGAAGCACCGGCUAACUCCGUGCCAGCAGCCGCGGUAAUUC